This 205-nucleotide long non-coding RNA is filed under the name Mytilus galloprovincialis (Mediterranean mussel). Lineage: Eukaryota; Metazoa; Mollusca; Bivalvia; Mytilida; Mytilidae. The record is from RNAcentral.
UUUUGACCUUUACUAUUUGGUGAAUUACAUUUGUCUCCCCUUGAAUAAGCAAAUAUGGAAAUUUGACUUCACAAAGAACCCAAUAAUGGUCUGUGUCAUUUCUUAGUCAAGUUUUUUAGACAAUGUGUGUUGUCUAUGGUUGUACAUCUAUUAUUUGGAGAGUUCAGAGUUGGUGUUAUGUAUGAUCUGUUAUAUUCAAUAUGUU